CAGCCGCCGCGGGAACACGAAGGGGGCUAGCGUUGCUAGGAAUUACUGGGCGUAAAGGGCGCGUAGGCGGCUGGACAAGUCAGGCGUGAAAUUCCCGGGCUCAACCUGGGGACUGCGCUUGAGACUGUUUGGCUAGAGGACAGGAGAGGGUCGUGGAAUUCCCAGUGUAGAGGUGAAAUUCGUAGAUAUUGGGAAGAACACCGGUGGCGAAGGCGGCGACCUGGCCUGUUACUGACGCUGAGGCGCGACAGCGUGGGGAGCAAACAGGAUUAGAUACCCCAGUAGUCCCUGUCUCUUAUAC
RNAcentral lists this ribosomal RNA (301 nucleotides) under uncultured bacterium. Its description in RNAcentral is "partial 16S ribosomal RNA". It matches the Rfam family "Bacterial small subunit ribosomal RNA", at positions 509 to 807 of the family's 1533-position model. The record is from RNAcentral.